GAUCCUGGCUCAGGAUGAACGCUGGCGGCGUGCUUAACACAUGCAAGUCGAACGAAGCACUUAAUAAGAUUUCUUCGGAUUGAUUAUUUUGUGACUGAGUGGCGGACGGGUGAGUAACGCGUGGGUAACCUGCCCCAGACCGGGGGAUAACAGUCGGAAACGACUGCUAAUACCGCAUAAGCGCACAGUGCCGCAUGGCACGGUGUGAAAAACUCCGGUGGUCUGGGAUGGACCCGCGUCCGAUUAG
Molecule: ribosomal RNA, 247 nt
Filed under: uncultured bacterium
Lineage: Bacteria
Description: partial 16S ribosomal RNA
Rfam family: Bacterial small subunit ribosomal RNA
Source: RNAcentral